AGCGAUUCAUGUCACUAGAGGUCGCUGUGAGCCAAAUUACUUGGUGUCGCAACGAUGUUUGAGCAGUGAAGAACUUUAAUUUUCUUUGGUUUGACGACCAAAAACUCAAUUAACAGUGUUAAGAAUGAGCAUACACAAUUACACUCAAAGGAAAACUCAUAUUUUUGAAUGGGAUUCCUAUAAUUUUGCAUUAAAACGACGAAGGGUAUUUAAAAACAAACUAAAUGCAAUCUUCGUGAAGGCCCACAAGCAACACAGAAUAUACCCACUGGAGGGCGACAUGGAAAGGCCAAAGACUUCUUCACAUACUCUUGUUUUUCUGUCAUCAUGACCGAAAAGAAAAAGAUGUCGAACAGUUCACAAGAUAUUUCCAGAGAGCAACUGAGGGCCAUAUCAGAUUGGAGACGCAGCCCACCGCAGGUCAGGAUAACAGGGCUCCUACACUGCUUUCCAUUUCCCACAUCAGUUAAGAGACUCUCUCUCAACACUAUAUUUCCUCUAGAUUUCCUUCCCUACCUGUUGCCUUCUCUCUCUUCCUCCCUCCCAAACGUGGUUCUGGGUGGUCUGGGCUCCUCAUUCUUGGCAGUGACUUUUCUGGGG
RNAcentral lists this long non-coding RNA (600 nucleotides) under Danio rerio (zebrafish). Its description in RNAcentral is "lncRNA si:ch211-205p4.1 (ENSDARG00000095852.2)". Lineage: Eukaryota; Metazoa; Chordata; Actinopteri; Cypriniformes; Danionidae. The record is from RNAcentral.